UACAGAGGGGGCAAGCGUUAUUCGGAAUUAUUGGGCGUAAAGGGCGCGUAGGCGGCUUGGCAAGUGGAAGGUGAAAUCCCUCGGCUUAACCGAGGAACUGCCCUCCAAACUGCUUCGCUUGAGACCGGGAGAGGUGAGUGGAAUUCCCAGUGUAGCGGUGAAAUGCGUAGAUAUCAGGAGGAACACCGGUGGUGUAGGCGGCUCACUGGACCGUAACUGACGCUGAGACACGAAAGCGUGGGUAGCAAACAGG
Molecule: ribosomal RNA, 253 nt
Filed under: uncultured bacterium
Lineage: Bacteria
Description: partial 16S ribosomal RNA
Rfam family: Bacterial small subunit ribosomal RNA
Source: RNAcentral